GCGACCGGCGCACGGGUGAGUAACGCGUAUGCAACUUACCUAUCAGGAGGGGGAGUAACCCGGCGAAAGUCGGACUAAUACCGCAUGAAGCAGGGGCCCCGCAUGGGGAUAUUUGCUAAAGAUUCAUCGCUGAUAGAUAGGCAUGCGUUCCAUUAGGCAGUUGGCGGGGUAACGGCCCACCAAACCGACGAUGGAUAGGGGUUCUGAGAGGAAGGUCCCCCACAUUGGUACUGAGACACGGACCAAACUCCUACGGGAGGCAGCAUG
Molecule: ribosomal RNA, 267 nt
Filed under: uncultured bacterium
Lineage: Bacteria
Description: partial 16S ribosomal RNA
Rfam family: Bacterial small subunit ribosomal RNA
Source: RNAcentral